CUUUUUUUUUUUUUUUUUCAAGCAAGCACACGCCACAAAAACAAGUCAUUUGCGCUGCAUGGGACACCACGAGGCAUCACGUCUCACACAGACCUGUAAACGUUUCAGGAGUCGAUAGUCUUCCUGAGUGUAAGUGAGCUUAACUGUUUAACCUUUCAAUACCGAAGGGUGCGUAUCAGACAGACUGCUUUCUCUGUGCUCGUGUGUGUGUUGUCAGGUGGUGUUGGUUUGCUUACCUCGUCAGGCGCUGUGGUUGAGGGCGCUCCCCGAACUUCCUGUAACGAGAGGACAGGAGACAGAAAACAUAUCAUUGUGACUGACAGACUCGUAAAGUAUCCUCAUUACGGCAGCACUGUCAAGCGGCCGUCCACUCGUGAGCAGUUCGUGCCAAACUUCACAUCUCAAUACCUCCAGUAGUUUGCUUUGUACGUCUCCACACAUCUGCAGUGUGAUCACAGAAUAUAAGGUGGGAUUCUGUUAUAAACAAAGAUUUGUGACUUAAGCAACAAGCAGCUCCUAUGAAGAAUAUUCCAAUUUUUGACAUCUCGGAUUUGACAAGGAAACAUUUUCUCCUCCUAGAGGAAGACUAAUGAAAUCGGACUUUUCCCUCCCGCUCGGAUCCAAGCCGGCUUUUUUCCCCCAAGCCAUAUUUCUUACUUCUAAAGUCUGAACAAACCGGAUUUGGCCGCUCGGGCUGGGCAAUGUGAAAACAUUACACUGUGACUGUAAUACACUCACUGGCCACUUUAAAAGGAACACCUGCACCUCUGCGCAGUCAUUAUUUAAAAAUCAGCCAAUCAUGUGGCAGCAGCACAGUGCAUAAAAUCAUGCAGAUACAGCUGAGCCUUGAAGCAGAAGAGUUCCAGUCAGUCAAGAACAGGAAUCUGAGGUUACAGUGGGCGUCGAAAUGCACUGAAACUGGACAGCGGAAGAAUGGAGGCCAAAAAAAAAUAAUAAAACAGGCAAUGAAAAUGACCCAGUUUCAUUGAGUGAACGAAACGGUUAAGACUAUUCCAUUUACCAGCACGAUCUACACCAAUAAUACCCAAUGAAAUAAAGCGAUAACGGAUUGUAUUUAUAGAACCAUACAUUCUAACCAUGCUGUUUAACACCACAAUGACGACGAAAACAAGAGGACCCGUGAAGAGCACCCACGGAAAACCCCAGGCACCAGAACAGAUAAUUUAUAGGAAAUGCUGUCAUCAUUUUAGUCAUAUUGCAGUCGAACCACUCACGACAUCGUCUGUUUGAAACGUAGGUUUGUGAUGGUCUCGAAGCUGGAUUUAACUACAGCAUAAAGCCAUUUCGGAAUUAGCAUUAGAUGGCAAGAUGGGCUACAGACAUUCUACGGUGAAUAAAACACAAACAGAAUUGAACUUUGGGACUAAUUACUACUAUUACUAUAGCAUGUUUACAUUAAAACCAUUUUUAAGUUAUAUUGUUACUCCUUGGCACCUAUCUUCUGCACUACCUGUUAUAUUAGACACUUCCACACUAAAACUGUGUAGUGUUCAGCGCUACACUAUCACUUACUGUGUCUACUGUCCUGUUUUAGUAGUACUGUACUGUCCAGUGUUUUUAGCACACGUCUGUACGUGCACUUUAUGUCGAAAUGUGUAGGUGUUAUUUAGUUCUGUGUCGUCUCACGUGGUUAGCGUGUUGUUUUAUGUAGCACCGUGGUCCUGGAGGAACGUUGUUUCAUUUCACUGUGUACUGUACCAGCUGUAUAUGGUUGAAAUGACAAUAAAACCUCUUGAACUUGAACUAUUGCGGUAAUUCGUAGAAUUAUAUUAUAGUAGUAUAUAUCUACUUGACCGACCACACAAGACAGUGUGAAUAAUGAAUAGUUUUUUUUCGUAUGUCAAUCUUUUACUACAGUAAAGCUCAGGAACUGGCAUGAAAAUGAUGUCGACCUAAAACUAGGAAAAGUUCUGUUUAUAUGAUAAAAAUGUAACGGACAUAGAGGAACUGGUCCAUUUGGUGGCACAUAUUUAUAUAACAUGGCUGAUAUCUGAAUAAUUAAAUACAGAUUUUUUUUCUUAAUGAAAAGGGGGGGUCCCUGAAUGAAAAGGUUUGAGCUCUGCUUUUGUGUAUGUAUAUUGUUGUGUAAUUAUUAUAUUGCUUGUAUACAAACUCUUGCGACGUCUUUCUGCAUCUUGUAUAUAAUUCGAACGCGGUAUAAAUACUGAAUGUCCGCUACAUUCCGCUGGUUACGUAAUCCAGCGUGCAUACUCAGGUCUGAAGGUAACACUGUACGUUGGUCCUGUGAUGACUAACUGACAGCGGCUGUGACUCUUGAGAGGUGGUGG
Molecule: long non-coding RNA, 2309 nt
Organism: Ictalurus punctatus (channel catfish)
Lineage: Eukaryota; Metazoa; Chordata; Actinopteri; Siluriformes; Ictaluridae
Exons: 3
Source: RefSeq, a predicted model, not a curated record